Molecule: ribosomal RNA, 253 nt
Filed under: uncultured bacterium
Lineage: Bacteria
Description: partial 16S ribosomal RNA
Rfam family: Bacterial small subunit ribosomal RNA
Source: RNAcentral
GACGAAGGGGGCUAGCGUUGUUCGGAAUUACUGGGCGUAAAGCGCGUGUAGGCGGUUGUUCACGUCAGGUGUGAAAGCCUUGAGCUCAACUCAAGAAAUGCACUUGAUACUGGAUGACUAGAGGACCGGAGAGGAUAGUGGAAUUCCCAGUGUAGUGGUGAAAUACGUAGAGAUUGGGAAGAACACCAGUGGCGAAGGCGGCUAUCUGGACGGUUUCUGACGCUAAGACGCGAAAGCGUGGGGAGCAAACAGG